GCCUGCAAUGCAGGAGACCUGAGUAUGAUCCCUGGGUUGGGAAGACCUGGAGAAGGGAAAGGCUACCCAAUCCAGUAUUCUGACCUGGAGAAUUCUAUGGACUGUAUAGUCCAUGGGGUGGCAGAGUCAGACAUGACUGAGCGACUUUCACUUUCAUAAGAUGAAAAGGAUAUAAACAUUAAUAUUAGAUCACUGCUGAGCUCACAUAUUUCCCCAGGUCAGGUUAUCCAAAGAACAUAACAAUCUAGUUUUAUCUGUAAGUGACUAUCAAAAGUACCUGUAGCCAGGGAGCUCAACAAGGUGCUCUAUGACAACCUAGAGGGGUGGGAUGUUGUGGGGGGGUGGAAGGGAGGUUCAAGAGGGAGGGGACAUAUGUAUACUUAUGGCUGAUUCAUGUUGUUGUGCGGCAGAAACCAACACCACAUUGUAAAGCAAUUGCCCUCCAAUUAAAAGAAAAAAUUUUUUUUUUUUAAAGAAAAUUUUUAAGUUAGUUGUAACAUCCAGCAAAAUCCAUUAUCCACAAUAUGUCUUUUUACUUUGCUACAGCAGAACCAGCCUUUAGCCCUUCAACUCAACCAAUAUCUACCAGCCCCUGUCAUGUGGCAGGUGAAUCCAAGAACUUUGAGAAUCUCCAAGCAGUCAUAUACCAUCUAUCAUAUAUUUCCCCCAUAAAAUGCAUGCAUAAUGAAAAAAUGGGUUUGGCUAAGCAAGGAUCUGGCUAUUGGAGAGGAGGCCUUGGGAAGAACAGAAGUACAAAGGAGGCGUCUCUGAGCAAGAUACAUACUCUCCAGGUCUUUGGACUUUGCAGUCAAAGCUAGAGUCAGUUUCACAAAAAUCAAGAAGAGUAUUUUAAUAAAGCUGUCCAAACACUGAAGUGUGUGCUAAGU
This 887-nucleotide long non-coding RNA is filed under the name Bos indicus x Bos taurus (hybrid cattle). Its description in RNAcentral is "lncRNA (ENSBIXG00005021025.1)". The record is from RNAcentral. Lineage: Eukaryota; Metazoa; Chordata; Mammalia; Artiodactyla; Bovidae.